UUCUCUAGUCACUCUUGGCUCAGUCACACUGUUAUUUACAAAGCCAUUUUGGGCUAACUACAAUUUUAUUGUUUUUUAUUGUUCAGAAAUGUGGACGCUCUUGAAAAAGAGAUUUCAAAUCUCAAUGAGCCCUUCCUGGUUAAAUAAAGGUGAAAUAAAUAAAAUAAAUAAAGUAUGACCACCACCGGUGCAGCGAGACCCACUACAACAUCUACAUUAUCCGCAAGUAUGACCACCACCGGUGCAACCAUGGAAGAUGAUGAAAUGGAGGAAGCACCUCUGGAUCUAGGACCGCCUGAGAUUAUUAUGAACCUCACGGAUGUGACCACUGAGGACCUCGUUGAACAGGAUGUGGCCGUGGAGAGAAACGAGGAGAGAAACGAAGAGAGAAACGAAGAGGAACAACGUCACACCAGGCGUCCUCGGCGGUACCAGCCCCCAGAUCCACUCAACUCAUUUCAGCAGAGGCUCCUCCAAGCCGUCGAGAGGGAUGCAGCCCAACCUGAUGCUCGCAGGAAGGAGGAUGAAGAGACCCUCUUUGCCAUGAGCCUGGUGCCAACACUGAAGAGGCUGCCUCAACAAAGAAAAGCAGCAGUCAAGGAUAAAAUGUAUCAGCGGCUUUUCGAAGCCAAGUUCAAUGAGAUGGAGUCAAUUUAGCCGACCAGCUCACAGGAAGGACAGGAAGAGGAGAGGAGUUGUCUGGUUGCUGUUUUGACCUCCCUCAUUGUACCUUUCUUUUCACACACGUCAGUUCCGUUUAAAUUCAGUCAAUUCAUAAAGUAAUUUGUUUAUAAAGUCUUAGGAUAGCAUUCAUUAUUAGUGUUACAUAGAUUUCUGAAUUGACAGAAUUGAAACUCAUACACAGGAGAAUUAACAGAUGCUCUUGUUGGUCUCUUACAAGACUAAAGGAACUCAGCAGCGAUGGCCCUCCAGUCUUCCUCCUUGGGGACAGGCAUGUAUUCACCAACCAGACAGUCCCAAAUGGCUUGUGCCACAGAGGGGACAAUGCCUGCCACCGUGGACCGUCCAACUCGGAAGCUGAAUCCAAUGGUCCUGUAGGAGUCCCCUGUCGCCAAGAAUCUGAAAUAUAAUUCCAAAUAAUUAUCAAUAUUGUGUGUAACUUGAAUUCCACCCACAUAUUAUAUCUACUUAUAUAGCUACCUCAUUACUGUUUAUUAAGCU
This 1182-nucleotide long non-coding RNA is filed under the name Salmo salar (Atlantic salmon). RNAcentral's name for it is "lncRNA (ENSSSAG00000099947.1)". Lineage: Eukaryota; Metazoa; Chordata; Actinopteri; Salmoniformes; Salmonidae. The record is from RNAcentral.